GGAGUCUUUCCAGCCCAAAACAGCUUCUUGAUCUUCUUGAAAACUUCUGUUUGGACUGAAGGGAGCUCUAA
RNAcentral lists this microRNA precursor (71 nucleotides) under Aquilegia coerulea. RNAcentral's name for it is "Aquilegia caerulea miR159 stem-loop (aqc-MIR159)". Its record names the gene aqc-MIR159. The record is from miRBase by way of RNAcentral. Lineage: Eukaryota; Viridiplantae; Streptophyta; Magnoliopsida; Ranunculales; Ranunculaceae.